GGGGUUAUAGCUCAAUUGGUAGAGCGUUUGCAUGGCAUGCAAAGGGUUAGCGGUUCAAAUCCGCUUAACUCCA
Molecule: transfer RNA, 73 nt
Filed under: Buchnera aphidicola str. Bp (Baizongia pistaciae)
Lineage: Bacteria; Pseudomonadati; Pseudomonadota; Gammaproteobacteria; Enterobacterales; Erwiniaceae
Description: tRNA-Ala (GGC) (tRNA-Ala-GGC-1-1)
Rfam family: tRNA
About the family: Transfer RNA (tRNA) molecules are approximately 80 nucleotides in length. Their secondary structure includes four short double-helical elements and three loops (D, anti-codon, and T loops). Further hydrogen bonds mediate the characteristic L-shaped molecular structure. tRNAs have two regions of fundamental functional importance: the anti-codon, which is responsible for specific mRNA codon recognition, and the 3' end, to which the tRNAs corresponding amino acid is attached (by aminoacyl-tRNA synthetases). tRNAs cope with the degeneracy of the genetic code in two manners: having more than one tRNA (with a specific anti-codon) for a particular amino acid; and 'wobble' base-pairing, i.e. permitting non-standard base-pairing at the 3rd anti-codon position.
Source: Rfam by way of RNAcentral